RNAcentral lists this transfer RNA (71 nucleotides) under Loxodonta africana (African savanna elephant). It matches the Rfam family "tRNA". From Rfam's summary of the family: Transfer RNA (tRNA) molecules are approximately 80 nucleotides in length. Their secondary structure includes four short double-helical elements and three loops (D, anti-codon, and T loops). The record is from Rfam by way of RNAcentral. Lineage: Eukaryota; Metazoa; Chordata; Mammalia; Proboscidea; Elephantidae.
GCCCUGGUGGUUCAGUGGUGGAAUUCUGAUCUUCCAUACAGGGUACCUGGGUUCGGUUCCUGGCCAGUGCA